GAAGGGCGGGAUGGGGCGGCCCAGGACACCUUGGUUACAACCUCUGGCUCCCUGUAGGGAGGGGCAGUUCCUGGGACGGUCACCUUGGCAACAGGUUCUUGGUCAGGGAGGAGGAAGGGCUCUGAAGGAACUCACAUUUCAGUCCCACAGGGGACAGUCUCCAACUUCCCAGACUCCCUCAAAACUGGCCUCCUUGAUCCACCUGACUGGAUCUACCCACCUGUACUGACUGCCUGUCUGAUUCUGGCUUCAGCAGGAAGGACACUGUGGCCGGCAGCCCUUCCAGAGUCCAGAAAAUACAGCCUCAUUCAGCCCUGGGCACAGAGUCCUGGACCUCAGCUGGUAGCCAGCAGCUCAGCUGUGGCUCUGCUGCUGUCCAUGAGGAAGGACUAGCUGGGCAGCCAGGUGCGCAAGAGGACGUGCAGGGUUGAGGGAAUGGAAACCACACUUCAACAGGCCUGGCUUUUAUUUCCCCCACUAAGAAGCUAAUAAAUCUGUGACUUUAAAGUACUGUGAGCCUCAGCCUUCUCCACUACAGAAUGAGGAUCCUCCUACGCUCAUAUCUCCUCUGGACUUUUUUUCCUGGAGGCUGGAAUCCAGGCUGAUGCAUGUUUUGACUCUGGUCUUGAUCCUGCCUUGUGACUGAAUGGCAGCCUGGUGGUGCAGGUGGUGCAGGGCAGACUCCGGGAGGCAGGACGGCAUCUCUGCUUGGCGGACCUUUCCCCAGGCAGGAGAGCAGCCUGGCGCUCUGCUCUGAGGCUGUGUUGGGGGCUGGGGUCAGGAGGAGCCAGGGCGGCUGUAAGGAAUGGGGCCGGAGAGGAGGGCGGUCCCCUCUGUUGUCUUUAUUGUCAGCAGCAUCCAGAGGUCCUUUCAAGUUUCUUUGUUUUACUGGUUCCCAGUGCUUCAAAGCAGAGGGAGGAGGUGACCAGUGUCCUGCCCAGGGGCAGAGAGAAGGGGUUAGUGAGUCAUAGCUGUGGACACUCAAUGGAAGAGGGACCAAGGGAGGAAGGAAAAGGAGUAAGAGAGGAUCUAGGGCCGACACCGAGUCUGGAGUCUCAGACUGGGGCACCCAUAAUCUCACACCAAAAAGGCCGAUUCCCAGGAUCCGCCCAGCACCCACUUGAGCCGCUCCGGCAGAAGGUGGGGGUGGUCUGCACGGACCCCAGCACACUGGGAAGCUGGUGGCAAGGCCCUCGAUCGGCUUCCUUGAUACACCUGGAAAAAUUCAGGGUCCCUGGCCACCAGCCCAGGAAAACGUUCUCUGGGGCCAUUCCUUUGCUCUGGACCCCCAUCCUGUGGCUUUUGGGGAAAUUCGUGACCUGGUGGAAAUGUGAUGCGACAGAAGAGGACGAAAGGGAAGGCGAACCAUUCAUCUUCCUCAGAAAAACAUCUCCAGCACCUCUGCUGCUCAGCGGACUCAGUGCCGGGCUGAGAAGGGACAAGGCAAAGGGCCCACACUGGUAAAUGACAGUGGCCGCAGAAGCACUGGCCUCAGGCUGUGCCCAGGACACGUGUCUAGGAGCAGCAGGGGGCAGACUCAAGAAGGACAGGUGGCUAAUGACAACACGCAGAGACUGGCUGACCUCACACCAGGAAAAGAGACACACUCACGUGGGAAACCAGAGAAUGCAGCUGACCGUCAGGAUCCUAAAUAACCUCAGUGGUCAGCACGAAGCUUUGAUGGGACUUCCAGUUCACGUACUAGGGAGCAGCCAGGCUCUCCCAUGAGCUGUAGGGGAGGGGACACGUUUCCCAGGGUUUCGCAGACCUAAUGUCAUCGUGAAGCCAUUAGAGGGCUUAUGUGCUAAGAAGUGUGGAGAAGCCCGGGUUAAACUACAUGAAGAGUAUUUCUCUAUUGUA
This is a non-coding RNA of Ictidomys tridecemlineatus (thirteen-lined ground squirrel), 1860 nucleotides long. The record is from RefSeq and is a predicted model, not a curated record. NCBI's taxonomy places the organism in Eukaryota, Metazoa, Chordata, Mammalia, Rodentia, Sciuridae.